This 332-nucleotide long non-coding RNA is filed under the name Lathyrus oleraceus (garden pea). Its description in RNAcentral is "Pisum sativum (pea) long non-coding RNA (PSAT_LNC018543)". Lineage: Eukaryota; Viridiplantae; Streptophyta; Magnoliopsida; Fabales; Fabaceae. The record is from RNAcentral.
GAGCGUUGGCGCCCUAAUUCUAUUUUCUUUUCCAUUUAAUUUCUCACUCAUUUUUAAUUCAAUUCGCUCCAGAUUUUUUACACAAUCUCUCUAAAAAUAUUUUGCAUCACAUACAUUUUUCUCAAAAAAAAAAAUUUUAAUCAUUUUUAAUUUUUGGUUAUUUUUAUUUCAUUUUAUCUUUAGUUUCCUUUUGUAUUUUAUUUUUUAAAUCAUUUUCAAACAUUUUUGCAUCCAACAUUUGAGAUCUUUUUAUUUGUAAUAUUUUUGACUUCUCAUAAUUUUCUCAACCAUUUCUUUUAUGUUUUGGUGCUUGAUUUGGAUUUUCUCUUUAU